CAGCCGCCGCGGUAAUACGUAGGGUCCGAGCGUUGUCCGGAAUUACUGGGCGUAAAGAGCUCGUAGGUGGUUUGUCGCGUUGUUCGUGAAAACUCACAGCUUAACUGUGGGCGUGCGGGCGAUACGGGCAGACUAGAGUACUGCAGGGGAGACUGGAAUUCCUGGUGUAGCGGUGGAAUGCGCAGAUAUCAGGAGGAACACCGGUGGCGAAGGCGGGUCUCUGGGCAGUAACUGACGCUGAGGAGCGAAAGCGUGGGGAGCGAACAGGAUUAGAUACCCCUGUAGUCCCUGUCUCUUAUAA
This 301-nucleotide ribosomal RNA is filed under the name uncultured bacterium. RNAcentral describes it as "partial 16S ribosomal RNA". It matches the Rfam family "Bacterial small subunit ribosomal RNA", at positions 509 to 809 of the family's 1533-position model. The record is from RNAcentral.